Molecule: ribosomal RNA, 593 nt
Filed under: Daia ofunaensis
Lineage: Eukaryota; Fungi; Ascomycota; Dipodascomycetes; Dipodascales; Trichomonascaceae
Description: eukaryotic LSU rRNA
Rfam family: Eukaryotic large subunit ribosomal RNA
Source: RNAcentral
UUGACCUCAAAUCAGACAAGAAUACCCGCUGAACUUAAGCAUAUCAAUAAGCGGAGGAAAAGAAACCAACAGGGAUUGCCUCAGUAGCGGCGAGUGAAGCGGCAAAAGCUCAAAUUUGAAAUCUGGUACUUUCAGUAUCCGAGUUGUAAUUUGUAGAGGUAACUUUGAAUAUGAGUCUUGCAUAAGUUCCUUGGAACAGGACGUCAUAGAGGGUGAGAAUCCCGUUUAUGGCAGGACCCCCAGUUCGUGUAAAGUGCCUUCUAAGAGUCGAGUUGUUUGGGAAUGCAGCUCUAAGUGGGUGGUAAAUUCCAUCUAAAGCUAAAUAUUUGCGAGAGACCGAUAGCGAACAAGUACAGUGAUGGAAAGAUGAAAAGAACUUUGAAAAGAGAGUGAAAAAGUACGUGAAAUUGUUGAAAGGGAAGGGCUUGAAAUCAGACAUGGUAUUCAGUGAUCAACUUCCUUUCGGGGUUGUGCACUUGCUGUUUACCGGGCCAACAUCAGUUUAGAGGGUAGGAUAAUGGUGAAAGAAUGUAGCUUGUUUUCAAGUGUUAUAGCUUUUAUUGAUACUGCCACUUUGGACUGAGGACCGCGCA